GCUGCAGAAGAAGCACCGGCUAACUCCGUGCCAGCAGCCGCGGUAAUACGGAGGGUGCGAGCGUUAAUCGGAAUUACUGGGCGUAAAGCGCAUGCAGGUGGUUUGUUAAGUCAGAUGUGAAAGCCCGGGGCUCAACCUCGGAAUUGCAUUUUGAAACUGGCAAACUAGAGUACUGUAGAGGGGGUAGAAUUUCAGGUGUAGCGGUGAAAUGCGUAGAGAUCUGAAGGAAUACCGGUGGCGAAGGCGGCCCCCUGGACAGAUACUGACACUCAGAUGCGAAAGCGUCGGGGAGCAAACAGGAUUAGAUACCCUGGUAG
This 317-nucleotide ribosomal RNA is filed under the name uncultured bacterium. RNAcentral's name for it is "bacterial SSU rRNA". It matches the Rfam family "Bacterial small subunit ribosomal RNA", at positions 478 to 793 of the family's 1533-position model. The record is from RNAcentral.